GAAAGGCGCUUUCGGGUGUCGCUGAUGGAUGGACCCGCGGUGCAUUAGCUAGUUGGUGAGGUAACGGCUCACCAAGGCGACGAUGCAUAGCCGACCUGAGAGGGUGAUCGGCCACAUUGGGACUGAGACACGGCCCAAACUCCUACGGGAGGCAGCAGUAGGGAAUCUUCGGCAAUGGACGAAAGUCUGACCGAGCAACGCCGCGUGAGUGAAGAAGGUUUUCGGAUCGUAAAACUCUGUUGUUAGAGAAGAACAAGGAUGAGAGUAACUGUUCAUCCCUUGACGGUAUCUAACCAGAAAGCCACGGCUAACUACGUGCCAGCAGCCGCGGUAAUACGUAGGUGGCAAGCGUUGUCCGGAUUUAUUGGGCGUAAAGUGAGCGCAGGCGGUUUCUUAAGUCUGAUGUGAAAGCCCCCGGCUCAACCGGGGAGGGUCAUUGGAAACUGGGAGACUUGAGUGCAGAAGAGGAGAGUGGAAUUCCAUGUGUAGCGGUGAAAUGCGUAGAUAUAUGGAGGAACACCAGUGGCGAAGGCGGCUCUCUGGUCUGUAACUGACGCUGAGGCUCGAAAGCGUGGGGAGCAAACAGGAUUAGAUACCCUGGUAGUCCACGCCGU
This 614-nucleotide ribosomal RNA is filed under the name uncultured bacterium. RNAcentral describes it as "bacterial SSU rRNA". It matches the Rfam family "Bacterial small subunit ribosomal RNA", at positions 202 to 803 of the family's 1533-position model. The record is from RNAcentral.